AAAUGCGUAUCCAUGAAUCGACAUCUCCAUUCCUUAGGGAAAGCUCAAGGACCAGCUUUCUGUAAGGAAUGGAGAUGUUGAUUCAUGCGUCAGCUCGAGA
Molecule: microRNA precursor, 100 nt
Filed under: Haemonchus contortus (barber pole worm)
Lineage: Eukaryota; Metazoa; Nematoda; Chromadorea; Rhabditida; Trichostrongylidae
Description: microRNA hco-mir-5889 precursor
Source: miRBase by way of RNAcentral